UAGGUGUUGAAAUAUUUCUUUUCUGAAUAGAAAGGUAGCAGCACCGAGCAUGCUGGCUUAUCUGUGUGGCUCUGGCUGGGAGUGCCCUGUGUGUCUUGACAAACGGAAGCAGCAGGUGUUUAGACAUGACAGCACAACUCUUCAUAGGACACACUUCUUUAAAUCCAGAUUAAAUACACAAUUUGAAGCCUGACCUUUCCGAGUAAUUAAAGAUUUCUACUUUAUGGUUUUUAUAGACAGUAGAGGCAAGAAGAAGCUCUUUAAUGAUUCGGGUGGAUAGUUUGUGGAGUUUUUUUUUUUUUUUUUUUUUUUGCUGCAUGGGAUUUAAAGGGACAAACGCUGACCAGAAUUCUAGAACAGUGGCCGUAGUAACUGGUGUCCAUGGAUGUGGUGGACACAGAGAUUCCCGCUUACAGGAAGGGGCAUGUUGAGAGGUACCUCAGGCAGUUUCUGGGUUACAGAGUAAGAGGCAAAUGAGCAGAAUGCUUGCUACUGAGGCUGGGCCAGGGCCCAGGGUGGCGUUGGUCAUAUGCUGGGAGGGAUGGGCGGCUGAGAUAGAAACCAGUGUCCAGUAGGGCCCUUCCCACGGGGACGUGGCAGCCUGACACUUCCUCAAGCCUGCGGUGUCCUUCCUGCCCUCCCCUUCACACCUGCCUGAGCUCAAAAGGCUGUAUUCCUCCCAUUCUGCAGAUUUGGAAAGGCCUUGUGUCUGAGGCAGUGCAUCUGGUCGGGGCCAGAGGACAUGUGCAGAACAAUGGCUUCAGAGCCACACAGGGGCAACUACGGCACACAUGAGUCACUGGGCCCCCUCCCUCGAUGUCUCGGUUUCCAUGACUGCGACUGUGACCUGAGGAUGGGCAUAACGCUUUUAUCUUCACAUUGCUCAACACAUCCCUUUUCCAGAACUAUCUUUUAGGAAAAUCAGAUUUGCUCUCUAAUGGAAAAAUACAGCUUGUAAAUGAGCUAAAGAAGAGAUAGAUAAUUUACGACAUAGUUGAAUCUGCAUACAAACUGAAAGAAAAAUGCUGAAUCAAAUGCCAGGUUGUCACCGUUUUCUUCUGAAAUUCACAUCAAGUGUUCUCAAGGAGAGAUGACCAAGCCUGGGGCUUCCAUCCCGGCUCGCAGGUCUGUUUAGUUUCUACGGUGUCCCCAGCUCCAUUGCAUCUUCUCAGGAAGUUUUCCUGACGGAAGGAUGGCUCCCAUGUCUCUCACGCCCAGAUACAUUGAUCCCUCUCCUGUCGGUGACCCUACUUGGUAGCACAUUACUUUAAACGCCCAUUACUAUUAACAUUAACGAAUGGUUAAUUACAACAGAAUUCCUAUCGAAGUGCAUAAGAGAGCCAUAUGAAUGCCAAAUGAGUACAUUAAUGAUUGGUGUUAUCACAAU
Molecule: long non-coding RNA, 1387 nt
Filed under: Sus scrofa (pig)
Lineage: Eukaryota; Metazoa; Chordata; Mammalia; Artiodactyla; Suidae
Description: lncRNA (ENSSSCG00070013742.1)
Source: RNAcentral